AUAAAUCAAAAUGAUAAAAAAAACAAAAAAAUUAAAAUUAAAAUUUAAAAAACACAAUUGUAUGCAAUAACUAAAUCUCCAUCUUCACUCGUCUAAUUUCUUUAAGUUCUCUUUGUUUUCUAAGAAAAUCAAAUUAAAUCCCCAAUCCUCUAAAAAUUCUUUUAUCUUUGGGCUUUGAUUGAUAUAACUGAUUGGAGAAUCUGAACGUGACUCAAAAGUCGCGGAAGGUACGGAUCUCGUUAAUUUCUCUCAUCCUCAUCCUCUUUCUCUUCAAUUUUAUUUUUUUGACGAGCACUCAAACUACUUGCUGCAAUGAACGGGAUUAUUUUGAACCGGUGUAGUGCUUAGCACAAGGUAGUUAUCCAGGAUUUAGAAACAAUCAUGGCCAAGUCAGAAGUAGAACAAGCAUCUGCUGCGUUUAGGAUCACACUGGAAGGAGACUGUAUACCUGCUCUGCUCCUCGCUUCUCAGUCAGGUAUUAACUGAUUGAUUUUGCCAUGUUAUACAUUGCUUGUAGUGAUUCACAUAUAAUAUUAUUGGUUUUUUUGGCAAGCUUGUGAUUUAUAUUGUGAAAAGCACUGCAUGGGUAAGAUGAGAUUGAAUAGAGCUACAAGAGUAAUUUGGAUAAUACGUCAUCUUUCAAUUAGGAAACAAGCUGAAAAAUAUUAAAAUAAUAACCUGAUUGAAGGUGUUUUCAUUUUUUAUGAAGAAAUUUUGUUAUUAUCUUAAUCAGUUCUUUGGUAAGCUGAUUUGUUUAGAAAUGUCCUGCCAGGGGUUAGUUUUCAUUUAUUGAAACACCGUUUAGUUACUGUGAAAAUUUUUCAUGUUUAUGAAGGGGUGAGUGAGACACUAAGUAUUUUUGACACUGGAUUAAAAUUCUCAGAUUUCUAACUUCGUCUUCGAAUGUAGAAUACUUGGUGCACGUUUUCAAUCUCAAUUAAUAGGAAGAGCUACAGAAGUGGGCUCUGAAUGUAUUUUCAAUUGCAGUGAUUAUGCUUUCUGUCCUUGAAAUUCCAUAGUUUAUUAAGAAAAUUGAUGCUCUAAAUCUCAUUUAUAUUCUGUAGCUGUUAAUUUGCAUUGAUAUCUUCAGAGCGAGAGUUAGUUGAGUUUGAUGGUUUGUACCAUCAAAGCAACUGGGUUUUGAGAAAAUAGGGAAGUCCAGCUCGUAGGACCUUGCCAUUCUCACAUCAGGUUACCACUGAAACCAACCUUGAGAAGAUGGGAUUAGAAAAGUUUCAUUCAUGUAAACAGGUUUGGUUGUAUAACAUUGGAUUUGGAAUUCUGGUUAUGAAGUGGAGAAGGUCUGUGAUGUUUCCAGCGGAGAUCUGGCCUGUAGCAUGUGAGACUUUCCUCUGUUCUUGUGUGUGUCUGUAUUAAAUUGUGUGAAUUUAAUUUUAUCAUUAAAUUUAUAAUGUUUUCCAAUGAUUUUAAUAUAUAAAAAAUAAUUAUUUAUUAUCUUUUUAAAUAAAUUUUUUUUUUCACAAUGACAAACAAUCACACAGUCUACGAUGCAUCAUGCACCAAAAUACAAAAUACAUUUUUUAAGAUGAGUUAUGUGUUUUUUACAUCUUAUUUGGUAUUGUGGUUGUAAUUGUUUUUUAAAAUAUUUUUAAUUUGAAAAUGUAUUAAAAUAAUAUUUUAUUUUAUUUUUUUUAAAAAAAUUUCAAAAUAAUUUUCAACCCUUUAUCCGGAUCGAUUUUCUUUGUUUGUUUUGUUUUUCCUUUUAUUUAUUUGUUUCUUAGGCAAUGAUGUGGGGACCCAAAUCCACGUUGCUUUCCUAUGGAUAUGGCCUUUGUAUUGCAUAUGGGCUAAAUUUCUAACAGAACAUAUAAAAUCCUCGUGCAGACAGUUUUUUGAGCCAA
Populus nigra (black poplar) is the source of this 1862-nucleotide long non-coding RNA. RefSeq lists it as uncharacterized. The transcript has 3 exons. The record is from RefSeq and is a predicted model, not a curated record. Lineage: Eukaryota; Viridiplantae; Streptophyta; Magnoliopsida; Malpighiales; Salicaceae.